This 424-nucleotide ribosomal RNA is filed under the name Klebsiella oxytoca. Its description in RNAcentral is "bacterial SSU rRNA". It matches the Rfam family "Bacterial small subunit ribosomal RNA", at positions 48 to 469 of the family's 1533-position model. Lineage: Bacteria; Pseudomonadati; Pseudomonadota; Gammaproteobacteria; Enterobacterales; Enterobacteriaceae. The record is from RNAcentral.
CUAACACAUGCAAGUCGAACGGUAGCACAGAGAGCUUGCUCUCGGGUGACGAGUGGCGGACGGGUGAGUAAUGUCUGGGAAACUGCCUGAUGGAGGGGGAUAACUACUGGAAACGGUAGCUAAUACCGCAUAACGUCGCAAGACCAAAGAGGGGGACCUUCGGGCCUCUUGCCAUCAGAUGUGCCCAGAUGGGAUUAGCUAGUAGGUGGGGUAACGGCUCACCUAGGCGACGAUCCCUAGCUGGUCUGAGAGGAUGACCAGCCACACUGGAACUGAGACACGGUCCAGACUCCUACGGGAGGCAGCAGUGGGGAAUAUUGCACAAUGGGCGCAAGCCUGAUGCAGCCAUGCCGCGUGUAUGAAGAAGGCCUUCGGGUUGUAAAGUACUUUCAGCGGGGAGGAAGGCAGUAAGGUUAAUAACCUU